UGGACUUUAUUCGCGCAGUAUAGGUGGGAGGCGUUGAUUAUAAUCUUGCGGGAUUAUUGGAGCCAUCAGUGAGAUACCACCCUUGUAAUGUUAGAUUUCUAACUUUGAAUCAUUAUCUGGUCAAAGAACAGUUUCAGGCGGGCAGUUUGACUGGGGCGGUCGCCUCCUAAACGGUAACGGAGGCGUACAAAGGUUUCCUCUGAACGGUUAGAAAUCGUAUCUAGAGUGUAAAGGCAUAAGGAAGCUUGACUGUGAGACCUACAAGUCGAGCAGGGACGAAAGUCGGUCUUAGUGAUCUGACGGUACUGAGUGGAAAGGCCGUCACUCAACGGAUAAAAGUUACUCUAGGGAUAAC
Molecule: ribosomal RNA, 355 nt
Filed under: uncultured eukaryote
Lineage: Eukaryota
Description: LSU rRNA
Rfam family: Bacterial large subunit ribosomal RNA
Source: RNAcentral